GGGAUGAUAGCUCAGUUGGGAGAGCGCGAGAGUGAAGCUUCAGAAGUCAAUUCUUGGGGUCGGGCGUUCGAUCCGCCCUCGUCCCA
RNAcentral lists this transfer RNA (86 nucleotides) under Trichosporon asahii var. asahii CBS 2479. RNAcentral describes it as "tRNA-Phe". The record is from RNAcentral. Lineage: Eukaryota; Fungi; Basidiomycota; Tremellomycetes; Trichosporonales; Trichosporonaceae.